This is a long non-coding RNA of Neodiprion virginianus, 1891 nucleotides long. RefSeq lists it as uncharacterized. The record is from RefSeq and is a predicted model, not a curated record. The transcript has 3 exons. Lineage: Eukaryota; Metazoa; Arthropoda; Insecta; Hymenoptera; Diprionidae.
AAUUUCUGCAUCAAUUGAAAAUACGUUAUGGAUUAAAAAAUUUCACGUAGAAUACGAUGGUUGUGCUAAGAACUGCUAUGAGGUUGGGGCAAUUGUUAAAAAUCGAUUGAAACAUAUUAAUUUUAGCAAUACCAUGAAGCAGAGAAGUGUCUUGAAGAAUUAUUGAAGCUAGAUCAACGAAUUGACUGGGUACUCGGAGAAUUGGUUCUGGUACGGUUGAUGCAACUUACAAGUAUGGGUUUUUCUAAAAUGGACUCUCUUAAGGCUCUGUAACAAUGUUCAUCUGUUACUGAUGCAGUGACAUUGUUGACAUCAGGAAAUAUAAGUAGUUCAGAAUUAGAGAGUAAUAUUAAUACGCCCGAGAUCCAAAAUUGCGAUGGCGACGAAGUUUAUUUUUCUAACGACGAAUCAAGUAGCACAAUUUUAUUAUCCAAACUGAUAUCUGAUAUAUCAUACAAAUCUAGUUAUUAUAAAAAUCUACGAUCCCAACCAUUUUCCUCCUCUAAGGCCCAAGAGUUUUGUAGCAGCUCGGAAAGAUCUUUGAACAGUAGCAUUUCUAUGGAAUCCCUUCGGCGAACCAAUGACAAUGAUCAUUGGGAAGUUCAGGGUAACUCCAAAUCUCUAAUGAGCACUUAUAAACCUCAAAAACCAAAAGUUAUAGCAAAUGAUAGCAGUACCAUUUGGGUUGGCAAUAUCGAAAAGAAUGUUACAAACCUUAAAUUACGGGAAUUAUUUUCAAGGCAAGUAAUUUUUCUUUCAGCCUAGGGCUGUGCGAUUAAUUGGUUACUCGUAGACUUCAGUGAUUUGUUUUACGAGUUCAUCGUUGAAUCAAUUAAUUGAAAAAGAACAAUUUAAAAAAGACAAUUGAUCAGUUAAUUAAUUGAGCAAAUGGUUACUUGAAAGGCCGAUACAUUGAUUAAUCGGAGGAACGAUUAAUCGAAUUUCCAUUGCUCGAUAACCUAACCAUUGAUGGAAAAAACAAUCAUUUGAACUCUCCGAUUAUUUGAUUAAAUACACAGCCGUAAUUCUUACUGAACUGCAAUUCAUCACAUUAUUAAUCUGUUCAUCAAAUUUUUUAUUCUAGAUUUGGCUCUAUAAAUUACAUUCGAAGAUUACCGGAUAAACGUUUCGUGUUCAUUGAUUUCAAUAGUAAAAAAGCUGCAACGAAAGCGUUAAAUAGCAUGAUAAAUUUUCAAGUCAACGGGAUACAAUUACCAGUAAAAUCAUCCACAGGUUCUCUGACAAAUAAAUGAGGAAUGCAUUUAUUAUUAUAUCAAUAACGGGAUUUACAUUCAAUUUAAAUAUUUCAUAUUCAGCAUAUACGGCACCUGAUUUGGAAUGCGAAAUCUGGGGGAAAAAAAACUGAUUUUAUUUUUAAUAUUUGUAUGCUUACGUUGUGUGAUGUAAAAUCAAGUUUUCGUAUGAUGACGUGUGACAUUUUUAAUUCAUUAUACAUAUUCAUAUUUUCAGCCAAUACUGCAGAAGGAAUUUAUCAAAUAUAUUACAGCCUUCUCAGUUUAAUAGGUUUUCAUGGUUUGUUUCAUUUUUAUUCUACUUUUCUUACUUAUUUGACUUAGAUUAUUUGGAUUGCUUGAAAAUAAGUAAAAACUGUUACUUCGAGUAAUUGUAUGAAAAAGAGACAGCACUCUGAAAUAGGGAUGUGCCGGAUAUCCGUUAACCAUCCGGUAUCCGGCCGGAUUAUCGGAUAGCAAUAAUCUGUCCAGAAGAUGAUUAUACUAUUACUCAAGAUGAUAGAAAUGGAAAAAAAUUAAAGUGGACAAAACUGAAAUAAGUAGGAAAUGAAGAUUCUCAGUUUCACACUUCAGUUUAGGUAACCUUACUUUAAAAUCCAGAAUUUGGCGAUUUUCUCGUACCGGAUACCGGAUAUCCG